CAUUAUCGAGUUUUGACUGGGUUGUAGCUGGCCUUCCGAGGCAUGUGCACGCCCUGCUCAUCCACUCUACACCUGUGCACUUACUGUGGGUUUCAGACGGCGUAGCGAGCCUUUACGGGUUCGUGAAAGCGUCUGUGCCUGCGUUUAUUACAAACUCUUACAAGUAAAUGAAUGUGUAUUGCGAUAUAACGCAUCUAUAUACAACUUUCAGCAACGGAUCUCUUGGCUCUCGCAUCGAUGAAGAACGCAGCGAAAUGCGAUAAGUAAUGUGAAUUGCAGAAUUCAGUGAAUCAUCGAAUCUUUGAACGCACCUUGCGCUCCUUGGUAUUCCGAGGAGCAUGCCUGUUUGAGUGUCAUGAAAUCUUCAACCUAUAAACCUUUGCGGGUUUGUAGGCUUGGACUUGGAGGCUUGUCGGCCUAACGGUCGGCUCCUCUUAAAUGUAUUAGCUUGAUUCCUUGCGGAUCGGCUCUCGGUGUGAUAAUUGUCUACGCCGCGACCGUGAAGCGUUUGGCGAGCUUCUAAUCGUCUCUUAUGAGACAACACAUUGACCUCUGACCUCAAAUCAGGUAGGACUACCCGCUGAACUUAAGCAUAUCAAUAAGCGGAGGAAAAGAAACUAACAAGGAUUCCCCUAGUAACUGCGAGUGAAGCGGGAAAAGCUCAAAUUUAAAAUCUGGCGGUCUUUGGCCGUCCGAGUUGUAGUCUGGAGAAGUGCUUUCCGCGCUGGACCGUG
Molecule: ribosomal RNA, 734 nt
Rfam family: 5.8S ribosomal RNA (bases 203-356)